RNAcentral lists this ribosomal RNA (502 nucleotides) under uncultured bacterium. RNAcentral describes it as "bacterial SSU rRNA". It matches the Rfam family "Bacterial small subunit ribosomal RNA", at positions 8 to 526 of the family's 1533-position model. The record is from RNAcentral.
AGAGUUUGAUCCUGGCUCAGGACGAACGCUGGCGGCGUGCUUAACACAUGCAAGUCGAGCGGUAAGGCCCUUCGGGGUACACGAGCGGCGAACGGGUGAGUAACACGUGAGCAAUCUGCCCUUCACUUUGGGAUAACCACCGGAAACGGUGGCUAAUACCGAAUACGACCGCCCCGGGCAUCUGGUGGUGGUGGAAAGUUCCGGCGGUGGAGGAUGAGCUCGCGGCCUAUCAGCUUGUUGGUGGGGUAAUGGCCUACCAAGGCGACGACGGGUAGCCGGCCUGAGAGGGUGACCGGCCACACUGGGACUGAGACACGGCCCAGACUCCUACGGGAGGCAGCAGUGGGGAAUAUUGGACAAUGGGCGAAAGCCUGAUCCAGCAACGCCGCGUGAGGGAUGACGGCCUUCGGGUUGUAAACCUCUUUCAGUACCGACGAAGCGCAAGUGACGGUAGGUACAGAAGAAGCACCGGCCAACUACGUGCCAGCCGCCGCGGUAAUAC